UGGGGAAUUUUGGACAAUGGGCGAAAGCCUGAUCCAGCAAUGCCGCGUGUGUGAAGAAGGCCUUCGGGUUGUAAAGCACUUUUGUCCGGAAAGAAAUCCUCUGGGUUAAUACCUCGGGGGGAUGACGGUACCGGAAGAAUAAGCACCGGCUAACUACGUGCCAGCAGCCGCGGUAAUACGUAGGGUGCAAGCGUUAAUCGGAAUUACUGGGCGUAAAGCGUGCGCAGGCGGUUUUGUAAGACGGAUGUGAAAUCCCCGGGCUUAACCUGGGAACUGCAUUCGUGACUGCAAGGCUAGAGUAUGGCAGAGGGGGGUAGAAUUCCACGUGUAGCAGUGAAAUGCGUAGAGAUGUGGAGGAAUACCGAUGGCGAAGGCAGCCCCCUGGGCCAAUACUGACGCUCAUGCACGAAAGCGUGGGGAGCAAACAGGAUUAGAUACCCUGGUAGUCCACGCCCUAAACGAUGUCAACUAGUUGUUGGGGAUUCAUUUCCUUAGUAACGUAGCUAACGCGUGAAGUUGACCGCCUGGGGGAGUACGGUCGCAAGAUUAAAACUCAAAUGAAUUGACGGGGUCAUAGCUG
Molecule: ribosomal RNA, 580 nt
Filed under: uncultured bacterium
Lineage: Bacteria
Description: partial 16S ribosomal RNA
Rfam family: Bacterial small subunit ribosomal RNA
Source: RNAcentral